This 282-nucleotide ribosomal RNA is filed under the name Scaphiophryne obscura. RNAcentral describes it as "partial large subunit ribosomal RNA". It matches the Rfam family "Bacterial large subunit ribosomal RNA", at positions 1926 to 2313 of the family's 2925-position model. Lineage: Eukaryota; Metazoa; Chordata; Amphibia; Anura; Microhylidae. The record is from RNAcentral.
AACGGCCGCGGUACCCUAACCGUGCGAAGGUAGCGCAAUCACUUGUUCUUUAAAUGAGGACUAGUAUGAAUGGCAUCACGAGGGUUAUACUGUCUCCCCCUUUUAAUCAGUGAAACUGAUCUUCCCGUGAAGAAGCGGGAAUAAGCCUAUAAGACGAGAAGACCCCAUGGAGCUUAAAACUCAGUACCAACUGCCUUACCACAUACCCCUUAAACCAGGCAGAAAUGAUUACUAGUUUUCGGUUGGGGUGACCGCGGAGCAAAAUAAAACCUCCACGAUGAA